AAAAAAAAAGGGAAUCCAACCAGUCUCUUGGCCUUUAUUUCUUGGAUGAUAUAGUUGAUUUUCUUGAGAAAUGUCUUUGUCAAAGAAAGAAAUGGAGAAGGAAGAACAUUAAAAUAGAAAGAAAUUUGUAUCAAUAAAAGAGAUGGCAAAGUGACAGUAUAAAACUUUACUUGUAUGAGGAGACAUUCACUUAGGCAAGAUGCUUCUUUUACCCAGUUAUUUUGUUCCACGUCAUCAGCAAUUACAAGUUUUACUACUCGUGCUGAACCCCUUUCUGAUAAAAAAGAAAUUAUUAGGGUAAAAGUCAAAUUUGGCUAUAGAUUAUUGUGAAGCUGCCAAAAUGUCAAAAUUAUUAAAUAAUCACAGCUAAAUAUAUAUAUUUCUAAAAAUAAGUUUUUUUUUUUCCAGCUCCAAUCUCAAUCUCAAUUGGAGCUUUAGUCUCUUUGCUGCUUCUGGUGGGUAGCCGCUAGCAGAAUCAACCUACCAAAACCGAAUUACCAACCAAGCAGGAUUUUCAGGUCAGAGAAACUAACAUUAACUGAGAAUAUUUAACUUGAUAAUUAAAUAUAUUCAAACCUAAUCUAGAUUGGUCAUGAGAAUCAAGACAUUAGUUCACACACGAAGCAAAUGGAAUUCAAAACGAGCUCCAAGUAUAUCAAACCAUCAGUUGACACAAAUUGAUGAGAGUUGUUGAGCUAUAAUAGAGCAAAAUUCACUGCAUUUUCAAAGGCAGCAACCUAUUUAGGAGGAACUUCCCCCAACACAGCCAUAGCAAUGAGCAUAAUAUAGAAAACGAUUGCCAAAGAAUAUUGCACUAAGGAAAAAUCAACUACAAAAGAGAAACAAUAAGAGCAACAAAAAUUGCCAAAGAAUAUUGACAAUAAGAGCAACAAAAAUACAGAGAGUCGUGGGUGUUGAAGAAGCUUUUCUAACUACCUUGAAGCCAUCCUCACCAUCUCAAAAAGCUUCAUGCGAGGUGGCAAAUACAACCCUCAUUUUAAACUUCAAGGGAUAAUCAAAUUUUAGCAUUGUCCCAAACAAAUAUGACUUUAGAAUGUUGAGAAUGUGCACGUAAGAUGAGGGUAUCCAUGUCAUUGACAAACCUCAAGGGAUCCUGCCUUCCCUAAAAAGCUUUUACAAAUACAUGGUAGUCCAGAAUGUCAAUAUGUGUAUUAUGCAGAAAAAAGCAACUUUGUACAGUUCAUUAAGAAAGAGAUUUUGUAAUCCAUUCAACAUGCAACAUACAGAAGCAGUGGCGACUAAAAGCUUGCUGUGGUAGUAGACCAGCUAAUAAGAAUGCACACAGUUGCCUCAUGUAGGGUUGAAGUGUAUCAACAAAAAAUAACAUCAAAUCGACCAGCAAAAAGAAUAAUAAAUAGAAAAUUACCAAUCUGCCAAACAAAUUCUUCAUCCACCCACAAAAGUCAGCCUGUUUGUUCCCUUCAAUCUAAUGAUUUUGACUAAAUUACUAAAUCAUCAUUGCAAGCUUCAGAAAUUAGAUUCUUUAGAACAGAGACUUCUUCCCAUCAAAAUUUCCCCACCUAACAAAAAGCAUAAAGCCACAGGAAGGAAAGCAUUCUAAACAGUAUGCAAGUUAAAACUUGACAAAAUUUAUGAUUCAACAAAUUUUGAGUCAGAAACAGAGCAUCCUUUAAAUGCCUUAAAAUGCAAUUCCUAGUUCUCA
Molecule: unclassified non-coding RNA, 1684 nt
Filed under: Hevea brasiliensis (rubber tree)
Lineage: Eukaryota; Viridiplantae; Streptophyta; Magnoliopsida; Malpighiales; Euphorbiaceae
Source: RNAcentral